Molecule: long non-coding RNA, 1472 nt
Filed under: Phoenix dactylifera (date palm)
Lineage: Eukaryota; Viridiplantae; Streptophyta; Magnoliopsida; Arecales; Arecaceae
Description: long non-coding RNA (PDAC_LNC000767)
Source: RNAcentral
GUUUCUGUGGCCAUGCAAUAUUUUUUACUGGAAAACAUAGUAACGUAAUCACUUAUUCUCGUUUUAAGCUUGAAGGAAUUUAAAUUUUAGUUUUUGGGUGAAUAUCUGUGUAUGCUGUGUUUUUUCCUGGAACUUUGAGUGAAUGGGGAAGAUUAUGUUCUUUCUUUUCGAUUUUUCCCUCGAUUCUAGUCUUUGGUGGUCGCUUCUUCUUCUUCUACUCCUUCCUCUUCUUCUUCUCCUUCUUUUACUUCUUCUUCUGGGAUCUAGGGAGAAAGGGGUAGUGGCAGCUACAUGUCCAUGUUCUCUGAGAUGGUUAGAAGGGUGAAUUGUGCCAUAAUUAUCUGCUAUUUUGCCAUAGGUUGGCCUCUCUCUCUCUCUCUCCCUUCCGUUUUNNNNNNNNNNNNNNNNNNNNUAAUUAUCUGUCUAUUUUGUCCAUAGGUUGGCCUCUCUCUCUCUCUCCCCCUUCCGUUUUUUCCGCCAAUUUGUUCUUUCCAAUGGUGUGUGGCUAGUUGGUGAAGUAGUCAUGAGAUUUUAUUAAGCUGGUAGUGUUCUAGGAGCCUCUUUUUGGCUCUUGUUACUCUAUGUUGGGUUUUUCUGGUUUUGUCUUUAACUUAUCGAAAAUUUUUGAUAUUGGAGCAAAAACGACAGCAGUGGAUGAGUUCAGUUUUAUAUGAUAAAGUAGGUUGUUUUAGUGUAUCAAGUGUUUGUUUCUAAUGUAGUCUCUGAUUUGGUUUGGUCUUUACCUUUUUGAGAGGAAGGUUGGUGAGGUAAUAGAAUGAAUUCAUGGUAAUCUAUUGCUUUAUCAUAUUAAUAAGGUCUCUAACGAGCUUGGGCUUGUCUCAAAAGAACUGCAUUAAAUCCACGCUCCCCCUGCCAACACUCUCUUGAUCAUAUUCUAGUUACAGUCUUAUAAAAUUUUACCUUCAGGAUUAAAAAUGGACAUGGUUUUCAGAAAAAUUUCAAUACAUUCCUCUUAGUUCUUCUAUGUUAGAGACCCCAUCAUUUAGUUCUACCUUAGACAUUGAUCUUCCCUUCCAAAUAUCAGACAUAUUGUAAGGAUAAGGUCCUUAUGAGCAUUGGAACACAUGUAUAAUCAUUUUUAUGCUAUCACUUAAAAAGGUAGAAGAAGAAGAGAAUGAACAAGAAGGAAAACAACAAUAACAGCAACUUCAUUGUAAUUGUCUCAAAGCCUCUCCACAGAUAAGUGCAUAACUAUGGUUGCCUCAUAAACAGUCACCUUGUUAAAUCAUGUACUGAUCAUAUUUCUUCAUCAUAACUGAUUGCUUAUUGUCUAGAAUCUGGAUUCCAUUGGUUUUGUUGUUCGAGGUCAUGGACAUCAUUAGGCAUGACCUUAUUCCCCAUAGUGCAUUAUCUGUCUCAACCAAGAUGGUCAAAACUGAUAAAUCAUCUUGUCCAUUUCCAAAUUUUUUCCCUAGGACAGCAUUAGUUAAAAUGAGGUACUUUUCCAUUAU